CCUACGGGGGGCAGCAGUAGGGAAUCUUCCACAAUGGACGAAAGUCUGAUGGAGCAACGCCGCGUGAGUGAAGAAGGGUUUCGGCUCGUAAAGCUCUGUUGGUAGUGAAGAAAGAUAGAGGUAGUAACUGGCCUUUAUUUGACGGUAAUUACUUAGAAAGUCACGGCUAACUACGUGCCAGCAGCCGCGGUAAUACGUAGGCGGUAAGCGUUGUCCGGAUUUAUUGGGCGUAAAGCGAGUGCAGGCGGUUCAAUAAGUAUGAUGUGAAAGCCUUCGGCUCAACCCGAGAAUUGGAUCAGAAAAAG
This 305-nucleotide ribosomal RNA is filed under the name uncultured bacterium. RNAcentral describes it as "bacterial SSU rRNA". It matches the Rfam family "Bacterial small subunit ribosomal RNA", at positions 338 to 635 of the family's 1533-position model. The record is from RNAcentral.